GAUUGCAGGCUGCAACUCGCCUGUAUGAAGUCGGAAUCGCUAGUAAUCGCGGAUCAGCAUGCCGCGGUGAAUACGUUCCCGGGCCUUGUACACACCGCCCGUCACACCAUGGGAGUCGAUAACGCCCGAAGUCAAUGACCCAACCUUAUAGGAGGGAGCUGCCGAAGGCGGAAUUGAUAACUGGGGUGAAGUCGUAACAAGGUAGC
RNAcentral lists this ribosomal RNA (206 nucleotides) under uncultured bacterium. Its description in RNAcentral is "partial 16S ribosomal RNA". It matches the Rfam family "Bacterial small subunit ribosomal RNA", at positions 1296 to 1500 of the family's 1533-position model. The record is from RNAcentral.